UUUCAAUUGGCCCCUUCCAGCAAGGCAAUGGGCCCCAUUUUAAAGGCUAUAUGACUCAAAGCCAAAGGUCACCAAUAUCCACAAUUAAUGAUGCUUCUAGUGAAGAUUUUUGCCAUAUAUCUCGGAUUCAUGAGCUACAAAUGUGUCACUAGACCUCCAUGUGAAAGGAUAGAGAUAAGCAUUGCUAGUAUCAAGUGAAAG
RNAcentral lists this long non-coding RNA (201 nucleotides) under Elaeis guineensis (African oil palm). RNAcentral describes it as "long non-coding RNA (EGUI_LNC032499)". Lineage: Eukaryota; Viridiplantae; Streptophyta; Magnoliopsida; Arecales; Arecaceae. The record is from RNAcentral.